GUCUUAUAGCAUAGCAUUAAUGCAUUGAAUCCCAUUAGAACUCCGUAGUUAACCACGCUCGGGCUAGAGUGGUAUUGGGAUGGGUGAUCGACCGGGAAGUCCUAUUGUUUUACAUU
Non-coding RNA from Picea glauca (white spruce), 116 nucleotides. Lineage: Eukaryota; Viridiplantae; Streptophyta; Pinopsida; Pinales; Pinaceae. The record is from Rfam.